RNAcentral lists this ribosomal RNA (301 nucleotides) under uncultured bacterium. RNAcentral's name for it is "partial 16S ribosomal RNA". It matches the Rfam family "Bacterial small subunit ribosomal RNA", at positions 509 to 807 of the family's 1533-position model. The record is from RNAcentral.
CAGUCGCCGCGGUAAUACGUAGGGUGCAAGCGUUGUCCGGAAUUAUUGGGCGUAAAGAGCUCGUAGGCGGUUUGUCGCGUCUGCUGUGAAAUCCCGAGGCUCAACCUCGGGCUUGCAGUGGGUACGGGCAGACUAGAGUGCGGUAGGGGAGAUUGGAAUUCCUGGUGUAGCGGUGGAAUGCGCAGAUAUCAGGAGGAACACCGAUGGCGAAGGCAGAUCUCUGGGCCGUAACUGACGCUGAGGAGCGAAAGCGUGGGGAGCGAACAGGAUUAGAUACCCCGGUAGUCCCUGUCUCUUAUAC